Molecule: long non-coding RNA, 284 nt
Organism: Ornithorhynchus anatinus (platypus)
Lineage: Eukaryota; Metazoa; Chordata; Mammalia; Monotremata; Ornithorhynchidae
Exons: 2
Source: RefSeq, a predicted model, not a curated record
AGGCCUGUGCACUUCGGGUUGGAUUUGCUCUUGGGAACAAGAUCUGUGACAGCACACACUGCUUCCUGGCCUUCUAGCGCGACCGAGAUCGAUGGAAAGAAUCCCAACCGUCUCCAAAGUUCAUCUGAGUCCCGCCUCUAGCCUGGAUGCCCUCCUUGUCUUGGGCCGACCACUAAAUCCAUCGAAACAUUUCCGCCUGAGAUGAGACCCGAGGCCCAAAGUUCAGCCUGGCUAGAUUGAAACUCAUCUCACCAAUCAAACCUCAAAUAAAAAUCACCGAAUCA